AAUUAUGAGUGCACACUAUUUUUAUGUAUUUUAAGAAAAUGGAUGAGCUCUAAUUAGGUGUUAAAAUUAAAGAAAUUCAGUCUGACAAUGCAAAUGAAUAUGUUGCUUUAAUAAAAUAUUUGAGUUGUGAAGGCAUUCAACACAGGUUUUCUUACUCGUAUGUUUAUCAGCAGAACGACACAGCAGAGCGCAAAGAUAAGCAUAUCACCACAAUGAAGUUGACACUUUUGGCUGAAGCUGGUCUUCCUAAGAAUUUUUGGGAGAGGCAUUUGUGACAGCUGCUCAGCUUAUUAAUUUACUUCGCACUUUAGUGCUAAAUUUUGCCUCACCAUCCUAGAGACUAUUUGGAAAAGCUCCAUCUUAUGUUUAAGGUAUUUGGCUGCCUAUGCUUCGCUCACACGAGGCUAUACAACAAAGACAAGAUGAAAUUUUGAUCAGAGGCCUGUGUUUAUCUAGGACUAGCCCCACAUUAUAAGGGAUUCAAGUGCCUCACCAAAGUCGGGUAAGAUCAUCACCAUAAAUGUUGUGUUUGAAGAAAGAGUAUUUCCCUUCAAAGAAGAGAGUUAUGGCUUCACAUUCACAACAACUACUCCGACAAUUCCAACACAACAACAUUCAGUGCCUCCAAUUCCAUUAAUACAGCCCCUACCUCCAAUCCUUACGCCAACUACACAAAUCAAUCCACCUAUACCUACACUACUACCCGAACCAGUAACAACCAUUGUAGACCACCACAAACCCAUGAAAAUUCAACACUAGAUCCAUUCACAAUCAACCCUGCUCCAAUCACUACCUCUCUUCCUACAAUUCCUCAACCUACAACCAACACACACCCAAUGCAAACAAGAUUAAAGACUGGGAACAACAAACCCAAAACCUUCACUUGCAUCACAAAACCUCUUGAACCAAAGUCACCAAAGGAAGCAUUGACUAUUUCUCAUUGGAAACAAGCCAUGGAUAAAAAAUAUGCAGUGUUGAUAAGAAAUAACACUUGGGACAUUGUUGAGCUUCCUCCAAACCGUUGAGUAAUAAUACCUAAGUAGGUGUUUAGGGUUAAAUAUUACCCGAAUGGCUCCAUUAACAGGUACAAACCAAGGCUCGUUGCUUUUGGCUGUCACCAAAGGCCUGGUUUCAACUUCAAAAAAAUAUUCAGUCUUGUAAUUUGUCCAAUGACAAUUAGAAUUUUGUUGACUUUUGCCCUGUCAAAGGGCUGGCCAAUCAAGCAAAUUGAUAUUAAUAAUACAUUUUUGAACGGGGAGUUGUAGGAAGUUUACAUGAAGUAGCCAUUUGGAUAUGAAGCUGGAAAUGAUAAAAUGGUGUGCAAACUAAUUCGAUCCUUGUAUAGGCUGAAGCAGGCACCCAAAGCAUGGUUCACUAAGCUCACUAACUCUCUUGUUAGCUUUGGUUUUGCAGCUACCAAAUCAAAUGCUUCUCUUUUUCACAGAGCUGAAGACCUAGUUAAAAGCUUAAAUGCUUGAUUUUCCCUCAAAGAUUUGGGGGAUCUUCAUUAUUUCUUAGGGAUUUAAGUGAGGCUAAUCCUUGAUGGUCUCUUACUCACACAAUAUAAGAAUAUUCUUGAUGUGAUAAAGAAAGCUGGUUUAGAAGAUUGCAAGUUAUUACCAACACCUAUGCCAUCAAUUCUUAGAUUAACCUCCACUAAUGGUGAACCUUUUGAGAAUCUUAGCCUCCAUAGAUCCAUCAUUGACAGUCUGCAAUAUAUCACUUUUACUUACUCCAAAUUGGCUUUUACAAUUAACAAAGUGUGUUAAUUUAUGCAAGCGCCAACUGAAUUCAUUGGGAAGCUGUCAAGUGCAUUCUACGGUAUUUACAAGGCAUCAGCACCUUGGGAUUGCAUCUCCAAAAAGCCUCAAAUUUUAGCAUUUCAAGGUAUACCAACUCAGACUUGGCAUUUAAUGUGGAAGACAAAAAAUUCACAGCAGGUUUCUGUGUUUAUAUGGGUCUGAAUCUCAUUUAUUGGUCAUCAAAGAAGCAAACUUCGGUCUCUCGUUCUAGCACCAAAGCUAGAUACAGAGGAUUUUGUAAUCUUGCCACUGAACUAUUGGCGAUCAAGAAGCUUCUGCUUGAAAUCAACAUAAGCCUACCAGUACCGGUGAUUCACUAUGACAAUCAGGGAGCAGUACUACUGGCAGCCAAUUUGAUUCAGCACUCUCGUUCAAAACACUUUGAAAUGGAUGUCUAUUUUUCUAGAGACCAUGUUGCCAAGGGGACUCUUCGAGUGCAACAUAUCCCAGGUGAUUUCCAAGUUGCAGACAUUAUGACUAAAGCUAUAUCUUCGAAUAAGUUCUUUGAAUUUAGAGACACUCAGGUUGCAAAGUUUUAGCAACUUGAAUUUAAAGGGGGGGGGGAGGGAAUUAGUUAGAAACUAAUUAUUGUUAAUAAGGAUAAAUGUCAAUUGUAACUAAUAGUAGUUAGUAUUGUGACUGGUACAGUAGGUAAACCAAAUCCAACUAUAUAUACACACUCAUGUAAUUGAUUCAUGUGUAAUGAAAUCAUUCUCUCACUUUCUGAA
Non-coding RNA from Arachis ipaensis, 2530 nucleotides. Lineage: Eukaryota; Viridiplantae; Streptophyta; Magnoliopsida; Fabales; Fabaceae. The record is from RefSeq and is a predicted model, not a curated record.